Non-coding RNA from Schistosoma mattheei, 45 nucleotides. The record is from Rfam. Lineage: Eukaryota; Metazoa; Platyhelminthes; Trematoda; Strigeidida; Schistosomatidae.
AUCCAGCUGAUGAGUCCUGAAUAUGACGAGACGCGCGUCCUGGAU